Molecule: long non-coding RNA, 816 nt
Organism: Pongo pygmaeus (Bornean orangutan)
Lineage: Eukaryota; Metazoa; Chordata; Mammalia; Primates; Hominidae
Exons: 3
Source: RefSeq, a predicted model, not a curated record
UGCUCUUGUUGCCCAAGCUGGAGUGCAAUGGCGUGAUCCUGGCUCACCACAACCUCUGCCUCUUGGGUUCAAGCGAUUCUCCUGCCUCAGGCUCCUGAGUAGCUGGGAUAACAGUCAGACGUUGGAUGAGACAUGAGAACGUGGGAGAGUCUGGGCACCUGGGAGCAGAGCAACCAUGGUGGAAUAGAGGCAAAGGAAAUGAACAAGCUCUUCAAUUCCCUGUGUCGCUCCUUGCUGUGUACCCUGGACCCUAAGAGCAACGGCUCUCUGCUCCUGAAUGUGAGAGGCCCCAUCAGCCGCCUCAAGAUUCCAGGCAACUGCAGCAGCUGUCACAAAGCAUCAUGUGGCAUUGAGGAAUGUGGUCAGAAAGCCGCUAAAUGAAAAAAAGGGUCUCAGGAAGGCAAGAAGGAGGGAAGAGCCCUAAGUACCAUCUGAGGAAUGGGGCUUUUUAAAAUCAACCCCUCUAAAGAACCACUUCCCUGAAUCUGUUGAAAGUGUAAAGUUUUCACCCAGCAAAUCGGAGAAGUUCAAGUUUAUACUCUAGGUAAAGAAGGUUUCCUUAAAGCAGGCCAGCAGCUGCAGCUCUCAGAAGAAAAAGAGGAAGACAAUACAUUUUCUUGCUUCGGUUCUGCGGUGGCAGGUGCACACCAAGGGGCAUGGCCUCCAGAAGGAACAGGGGCUUGGCUGGAGAACUGUCAAUUAAUCAUCCAGGAGAAUGCCCCUGACAGCAGGGAGAAAACUCCCAUUCAUUUCCUCGGGAUUGUGCUGUGGCCACUAAAUGCAAUGUUUCUACAAAUAAAAAUUCAUCUGCUCCUG